Molecule: ribosomal RNA, 462 nt
Filed under: uncultured bacterium
Lineage: Bacteria
Description: SSU rRNA
Rfam family: Bacterial small subunit ribosomal RNA
Source: RNAcentral
AGAAUGAACGCUGGCGGCAUGCCUAACACAUGCAAGUCGAACGAAGCCUUCGGGUUUAGUGGCGCACGGGUGCGUAACGCGUGGGAAUCUACCCCUUGGUUCGGAAUAACAGUUGGAAACGACUGCUAAUACCGGAUGAUGACGUAAGUCCAAAGAUUUAUCGCCGAGGGAUGAGCCCGCGUAGGAUUAGGUAGUUGGUGUGGUAAAGGCGCACCAAGCCGACGAUCCUUAGCUGGUCUGAGAGGAUGAUCAGCCACACUGGGACUGAGACACGGCCCAGACUCCUACGGGAGGCAGCAGUGGGGAAUCUUGCGCAAUGGCCGAAAGGCUGACGCAGCGACGCCGCGUGGGGGAGGAAGGCCUUCGGGUUGUAAACCCCUGUUGCCGGGACGAAUGUGCACUUUAGAGUGCAUUGACGGUACCGGGUGAGGAAGCACCGGCUAACUCCGUGCCAGCAGCCGC